Molecule: long non-coding RNA, 1066 nt
Filed under: Anas zonorhyncha (Eastern spot-billed duck)
Lineage: Eukaryota; Metazoa; Chordata; Aves; Anseriformes; Anatidae
Description: lncRNA (ENSAZOG00000001423.1)
Source: RNAcentral
UGCUGUUCAUGUUCAUGCCAGUCAUUUUACGGUAACUGAAAAAACACUGUGUGAAUUCUCUCUUUGUUAUUGUUGUUCUUUUUGUGAGACUAAAGACAUUUAACUUGUAGGAAUUCUGAUUUAGGUAACUGUUUACUAUUUAUCUCCAUUUCUUGGUUCUGUUGGAUAAAACUGUCCUGCUUUACCUGAUCACCUAGAGAUCUGUGUUAUUCUUUUUGUCUGCUGUGAUGGGUUCACACCCAUGGGGCUUAUAAUCCAGUGAAAGUCAAAAGGCUUUUAGUUUGGUCUUUGCUUUUAUAAUCUCUCGUCAGAGCAAAUAAUUAUUUUACAGGCAGUAAAGCAUAAAGAGUUGUAUCAGUGUUAAAAGAUAAAAGACUAUUUUGUGUUUGCAAUGUAAUAUUUUAAUGACUGUUAUUUAACUGCAAUUACUUCUGGUUAUUAUUAGAUAAGAUAAAGAGAAAUGACAAGAGAAGUAAACUCACUUGCAAUACUCUAACUGACUAACUGCUUGAAUAUUAAACUUCAUCAGUGUUUGCAGCACUUCCCAUAGUUUCCUAUAAAGUGUUUUUUCCAUUCUCAAUUAUCAGAUUUGUGGUACUGUAUUCUAAGUCUUAUUGUACUGUUUUAUGCAAUAAAUAAGAUGUUAAUCGUAUGUAAUAAGAACCUGUGACCAGUCCUACUGAAUAUUAAAAUAGAUAUGGUUUGACUUGGAAUACUGAAUUCUUUUUUCUUUGGUUUCUGCAGCUGGCUUUGAAACACUGUAUCCUAUUCUUCCCUUUUACUACAGUCCAUCUCUGAAACAAAAACCAAAUUUUUUAAUUUUGUCCGAGAUGCGCAGACGAGAACCUCUGCCAAGAACCACGGAAAAAAAAUAAAUCAGAGGAAAACUCAGGUUGAGGAGGAGCCUGAAGUAAUGGCAAAACUCAGCUGAAUUCUAAGAGCCAGAAGUUACAGGAUGCACAGAGUCGGUCGUUAAUUUUUUUGUUUUGUUUUCUUAUUUUUUUCUUCCUCAAAACUUAAAAAGAAAGGUAUUGGCAUCUCUUUGGAUAUGUAAUUUGUGUCUUUC